This 344-nucleotide ribosomal RNA is filed under the name uncultured eukaryote. RNAcentral describes it as "SSU rRNA". It matches the Rfam family "Eukaryotic small subunit ribosomal RNA", at positions 594 to 945 of the family's 1831-position model. The record is from RNAcentral.
AUAGCGUAUAUUAAAGUUGUUGCAGUUAAAAAGCUCGUAGUUGAAUUUCGGGGGUCUACCAUUGGUCGGGCAAUUGUCUGUACUGGCGUGUGGAAUUUCUACCUUCUGGGGAACUAUCAUGUUAUUAAUUUAGCGUGGUGGGAAACCAGGACCUUUACCUUGAAAAAAUUAGAGUGUUCAAAGCAGGCUUACGUCUGAAUACAUUAGCAUGGAAUAAUAAAAUAGGACGGUGGUCCUGUUUUGUUGGUUUCUGAAUCACCGUAAUGAUUAAUAGGGAUAGUUGGGGGCAUUAGUAUUCAAUUGUCAGAGGUGAAAUUCUUGGAUUUAUUGAAGACUAACUUCUG